Molecule: long non-coding RNA, 1227 nt
Organism: Tigriopus californicus
Lineage: Eukaryota; Metazoa; Arthropoda; Copepoda; Harpacticoida; Harpacticidae
Exons: 4
Source: RefSeq, a predicted model, not a curated record
AGGGCUACCCAGGGAAUUUUCAAAAACAGUGCUUCUUCUGAAAACUUUUUGAACCCUGAACCAACAACAACAAACAAGUCAAACUUGGACAGGUUCUUGACCAAAAUCCUGAUCAACCCUACAUUCAAGGGCCAUCGAGAUUUAUAACUCUUUCAUCUUGAAGUGCUGGGGAUCCCAUUUCCUGCAGCGUUAAGAAGUCCUCAAAAAACAUCGCAGAAAAAAAGAGAGUGCUAAAAAGCCCUUGAACAUUUGCCAGAAAAAAUGUACGUGGAUGACAAAAAUUGCUGGACCGAGCGUCAAUUGGAAAAACAUUUGUCUGGGAUACAUCCCGAUUCCCAGGCUGGCCCAGCGAGGACUUCUGAAACCGAAUACGCUGGAAGAUCAAAAACAAUGGGUUGGACUUAGACCCACGUUCGUUUCGUUGGUUCAUCCGGUUGAUCGCCAGAGAGGGGCCAAAAAUUUUGGAAAAAGCCGUUAUCUAUGCAUUGGUUUCAUUCUCAAGUCGGGGUAUCAAAUUGAGCAUGCACGUUGGAUAUUCUGGAUUUGAAAAAGUUGCCCAUUUUACUCAAUUCGCACCAAGGAAAAUGUUUGAUUCUCUUCAUUCAAUCUAUAUAAAAGUGGAAUGUCCAAAGCUCCUCGUUCUCGACUCAAGAGGUCUUUGAAUGUCCGCAAACACAACACACACCACAUCAAAAGAAGCGAGAGUGCCUGGUUGGUUCGUCUACCCUAUUCAAGAACAAAACGUUGUACCUGAUUAAUUUGAAACAAGCCAUGGGAUUGAUCAAGGACCAUUGGCCAAAAAAAAUCGUCUAACACCACGAGAUGGGCGUCACAAUUCCCGGAAAUAGCUCACCGGUUUGAAUAGUAAAACAACUGAAUGAAUGAAAACAAACCAAUAAUGCUCAAACGUUGGCAAAAUGAACGCUACAUUUGUCUGACGGCAAUUUGAUCGCAAUGUUGACCCAAUACCAAUUCAAAUGAAACCAUUUCGUUUGACUCAAAAGGCCCCUUAGCAUGAUACAAUUGGCCGCCAAAACUGACAGGCUCCCCUGUUAUGCCUGCCAACGAGAGGCGAAAAAUGGUUUCUCCUCACUGCAUGAACAUCAUCAAAUCAAUGUCAAGAUGUCCUGCACUCCUGAGUUCCUCACGUUCUCCACUUCAUCUUUCCUUGGGCAGACUGUUGCUCAGAUCCCAAGAGAGUUCGUUGUCUCAAGUUCUCGCUUGUCA